Molecule: ribosomal RNA, 520 nt
Filed under: uncultured bacterium
Lineage: Bacteria
Description: bacterial SSU rRNA
Rfam family: Archaeal small subunit ribosomal RNA
Source: RNAcentral
AACCUCCGCAAUGUGAGAAAUCGCGACGGGGGGAUCCCAAGUGCCAUUCUUAACGGGAUGGCUUUUCUUAAGUGUAAAAAGCUUUUGGAAUAAGAGCUGGGCAAGACCGGUGCCAGCCGCCGCGGUAACACCGGCAGCUCUAGUGGUAGCUGUUUUUAUUGGGCCUAAAGCGUUCGUAGCCGGUUUGAUAAGUCACUGGUGAAAUCCUGUAGCUUAACUGUGGGAAUUGCUGGUGAUACUGUUGAACUUGAGGUCGGGAGAGGUUAGCGGUACUCCCAGGGUAGAGGUGAAAUUCUGUAAUCCUGGGAGGACCGCCUGUUGCGAAGGCGUCUAACUGGAACGGUUCUGACGGUGAGGGACGAAAGUUAGGGGCGCGAACCGGAUUAGAUACCCGGGUAGUCCUAACUGUAAACGAUGCGGACUUGGUGUUGGGGUGGCUUUGAGCUGCUCCAGUGCCGAAGGGAAGCUGUUAAGUCCGCCGCCUGGGAAGUACGGUCGCAAGACUGAAACUUAAGGAAUU